This 497-nucleotide ribosomal RNA is filed under the name uncultured bacterium. RNAcentral's name for it is "partial 16S ribosomal RNA". It matches the Rfam family "Bacterial small subunit ribosomal RNA", at positions 28 to 507 of the family's 1533-position model. The record is from RNAcentral.
GAUGAACGCUGGCGGCGUGCCUAAUACAUGCAAGUCGAGCGAACGGACGAGAAGCUUGCUUCUCUGAUGUUAGCGGCGGACGGGUGUGUAACACGUGGAUAACCUACCUAUAAGACUGGGAUAACUUCGGGAAACCGGCGCUAAUACCGGAUAAUAUUUUGAACCGCAUGGUUGAAUAGUGAAAGACGGUCUUGCUGUCACUUAUAGAUGGAUCCGCGCUGCAUUAGCUAGUUGGUAAGGUAACGGCUUACCAAGGCAACGAUGCAUAGCCGACCUGAGAGAGUGGUCGGCCGCACUGGAACUGAGACACGGACCUGACGCCUACGGGAGGCCGCAGUAGGGAAUGGUCCGCAGUGGUCGAAAACCUUACGGAGCAACGCCGCGUGAGUUAUGAAGGUGUUCGGAGCGUAAAACUCUGUUAUUGGUUAUAAACAUAUUUGUAAGUAACUGUGCACAUCGUGACGGUACCUGGUCAGAAAGCCACGGCUAACUACGUG